Cyprinus carpio (common carp) is the source of this 1713-nucleotide long non-coding RNA. NCBI's taxonomy places the organism in Eukaryota, Metazoa, Chordata, Actinopteri, Cypriniformes, Cyprinidae. The record is from Ensembl.
AUGCCGGAGGUCACUUCCACCAGAAGUGAAAGGCUAACAUCCAAAGGCAUUAUGUUUUUUUGCAACACCACAGCCAUCAAGGACUGGAGCUAUUUUCUCUCUCAAAUCUGGCCUCUUGUGAAUAAAUCAGCGGGAUUUGUUCAUCAGAGUAUGGAGCGGGUGGAAGCGGUGACGAGCACCAUGGUGACGGCUCUGGAGCCCGACCUGAGCGGCAUGAGCGCCAGUCACCCGCCGCUCAACUCCAAUCACACGUCCGGAAUGGAGCACGUCUUUCAGUACUCGUACUCCGAGAGUGACCUGCAGUACACAGACUACAGGACGCCGCCGAGGGACUCGAUACCGCUGCCCAAGGCGGUGCUGUACCUGGUUAUGGCCGCGCUGGUGGUGGUGGCCGUGGCGUACGCGAUCGUGGGGCACCUGGUGAAGGAUCUCGUGCAUGAGUUUGUGGAGUGGGUGUUUGGGCCCCGUUCAGACAACCGCAGGAGCAAGAGUGAGGUGAACUGCAUCAGCAGCAGCAUGAAUGAAAUGAGCGAACUCUCGCAUCCAGCCGACACUCGCUGCAUCGUGUACAAUCACUCUGACUGCCCGAGCGCCAUUAAGCCGGAAGAACUGGUGGUCACCAUCGAUGAGACCUCGCAGCUACCUCGUGAAGCUUACAGUGGGACCUAAUUGAGACCAAACUAUCACCGUUUGAUCCAGCCCUUUAUUAUGAGGAGAAAAGCACGUUUGCUUUAGUUUGAUCAGCAUCUGUGAUGUUGAAAGCCGGCAUGUUGAAGUCACAUGGCGGAAGACUUAUCCUGGGAUGAGCAAAACUGAAGAAUCUCUGAGAUUUAAGAAGGAAUGGAAUCACUUUAAAGUACAUUAAAUGUUCCGUAUUGAGUGCUGUGAGACACUUUAUAUUUUCAAAUCGAAUAGAGAAAGAGAAAAGACACUUCUUUAUCGUUCAUAUCAGUCUUGUCACACAAUAUUUCAGUUUAUUUUUCUUGUUUUGUGGAGACAUGCACUGUGAAUCUAGAAUAGUGUUCUGCUGUUAUCCAUUUCCUACUCUACCUACAACCCGCUAUGGUUUGAUUUUCCCGCUUUUUGCAGAUAUUUAUGGCUGUGUACUUAUGAUAUUUGCAAAUACUCACGUUUUACUCAAUUUCAGGUUUCCUGUGAUCGACUAUGCUGCUUAAAAACAGAAAUGCAUAGAGAUCUUGUCCCUGCAGGUUGCUUGAAAUUCCAAGUAAUGAAGAUGGUUUAGAUAAACAGCCCUUGAUGAAAAAAUGAUCAAUAGUUAAUCCACAAUGGCUUUUUCAUCUAAGGCCGUGUUACCAAAAAUGUGUUUUAUAAUGGAGAGAGAUGCUACACAAACACUUCUCACUGAAAAUAUGUAUUUAAAUGGUAGAAAGCUGCAGUUAAAUAGAUUUUUGAUAAUAUAUAUGAGUUAUAUGUUGACAAAGUGGUCUAAAAAAAAUCAUAUCUCUGUUUACUUCACAACUAAAAGGGCUAUAAUUUCAGGUUUCAUUGCAGAUGGUCAUCAUAAUGAAGCUUCAGAUCUGAACAUCACAUUUUUAAACAGAUAUUAAAGUCAGUGUGUAUUAAAAAGGCAUAAUUGGCAGAGUUAUCACUUAUCAAAUGUUGGAAACGGGCAAACUUUGCCAACUUCUGCUGUCCUCUCUUUCAUACAUUUUUAACAAUAAAACUGAAAAAAGAAAAAGAAAAAUAGCUGUA